GACGAACGCCGGCGGCGUGCUUAACACAUGCAAGUCGAACGGAAAGGCCCUGCUUUUGUGGGGUGCUCGAGUGGCGAACGGGUGAGUAACACGUGAGUAACCUGCCCUUGACUUUGGGAUAACUUCAGGAAACUGGGGCUAAUACCGGAUAGGAGCUCCUGCUGCAUGGUGGGGGUUGGAAAGUUUCGGCGGUUGGGGAUGGACUCGCGGCUUAUCAGCUGGUUGGUGGGGUAGUGGCUUACCAAGGCUUUGACGGGUAGCCGGCCUGAGAGGGUGACCGGCCACAUUGGGACUGAGAUACGGCCCAGACUCCUACGGGAGGCAGCAGUGGGGAAUAUUGCACAAUGGGCGGAAGCCUGAUGCAGCAACGCCGCGUGCGGGAUGACGGCCUUCGGGUUGUAAACCGCUUUCGCCUGUGCCGAAGCGUGAGUGACGGUAAUGGGUAAAGAAGCACCGGCUAACUACGUG
This 468-nucleotide ribosomal RNA is filed under the name uncultured bacterium. Its description in RNAcentral is "partial 16S ribosomal RNA". It matches the Rfam family "Bacterial small subunit ribosomal RNA", at positions 28 to 507 of the family's 1533-position model. The record is from RNAcentral.